RNAcentral lists this ribosomal RNA (306 nucleotides) under Triticum aestivum (bread wheat). RNAcentral describes it as "partial small subunit ribosomal RNA". Lineage: Eukaryota; Viridiplantae; Streptophyta; Magnoliopsida; Poales; Poaceae. The record is from RNAcentral.
GAGGAAACAAUUAACCACAUUCUACUCACUUGCGUCUUUGCUAGGACUACUUGGGUGAGGAUCUGUGAGGCCUUGGGCAAGCCGGAUUGGACCCCAUCUCAACAAGACACGCUGGCGGAAUGGGCAGUUGCCAAGCGAGGAUUAGAUGGCAUGAGCAUGAAAGACCUUCGUACUAUUGUUGCGCUAGUAUGGUGGGAGUUGUGGAAGCAUAGGAAUGCAAUUAUCUUCGAUGGAGCGCGCCCUUCAAUAGAGUUUCUACUAGGGAGAGUGAGGCAGAGGGCCCAGUGUGGGCAUCUGCCGGGCUAA